UCGAGAAUUUUUCACAAUGGGCGCAAGCCUGAUGGAGCGACGCCGCGUGGGGGAUGAAUGGCUUCGGCCCGUAAACCCCUGUCAUUUGCGAUCAAACCUCACGACCUAAUACGUCGUGAGUUGAUAGUAGCGAAAGAGGAAGGGACGGCUAACUCUGUGCCAGCAGCCGCGGUAAUACAGAGGUCCCAAGCGUUGUUCGGAUUCACUGGGCGUAAAGGGUGCGUAGGCGGUCGGGUAAGUCUGACGUGAAAUCCUGGAGCUUAACUCCGGAACGGCGUCGGAGACUAUUCGGCUAGAGGAUGGGAGGGGGGACUGGAAUUCUCGGUGUAGCAGUGAAAUGCGUAGAUAUCGAGAGGAACACCCGUGGCGAAGGCGAGUCCCUGGACAAUUCCUGACGCUGAGGCGCGAAAGCUAGGGGAGCAAACA
Molecule: ribosomal RNA, 426 nt
Filed under: uncultured prokaryote
Description: bacterial SSU rRNA
Rfam family: Bacterial small subunit ribosomal RNA
Source: RNAcentral